Molecule: ribosomal RNA, 253 nt
Filed under: uncultured bacterium
Lineage: Bacteria
Description: partial 16S ribosomal RNA
Rfam family: Bacterial small subunit ribosomal RNA
Source: RNAcentral
GACGUAGGUGGCUAACGUUAUCCGGAUUUACUGGGCGUAAAGCGUGCGUAGGCGGCCAUGUAAGUCAGAUGUAAAAUCUCCUGGCUCAACUGGGAGGGACCAUCUGAUACUGUGUGGCUAGAGUACAGCAGAGGAAAGUGGAAUUCCCGGUGUAGUGGUGGAAUGCGUAGAUAUCGGGAGGAACACCAGUGGCGAAAGCGGCUUUCUGGGCUGUUACUGACGCUGUUGCACAAAAGCGUGGGGAGCAAACAGG